CCUACGGGUGGCAGCAGUGGGGAAUAUUGCGCAAUGGGCGAAAGCCUGACGCAGCAACGCCGCGUGAAGGAUGAAGGCUUUCGGGUUGUAAACUUCUUUUGUUAGGGAAGAAAAUGCCGAUAUCUAACGAGUAAUCACCGACUAACACCUUGCCAGCAGCCGCGGGAAUACGGAGGUUGAGAGCGUUACUCGGAGUCACUGGGCGUAAAGAGCGCGUAGGCGGGAUAGCAAGUCAGAUGUGAAAUCCUAGGGCUUAACCAUAGUACUGCAUGUGAUACUGUAAUUCUAGAGUAUGGGAGAGGUAGGUGGAAUUCCUGGUGUAGCGGUGAAAUGCGUAGAGAUCAGGAGGAAUACUGAUUGCGAAGGCGACCUGCUAGA
Molecule: ribosomal RNA, 378 nt
Filed under: uncultured bacterium
Lineage: Bacteria
Description: partial 16S ribosomal RNA
Rfam family: Bacterial small subunit ribosomal RNA
Source: RNAcentral